RNAcentral lists this ribosomal RNA (1600 nucleotides) under Neobakuella aenigmatica. RNAcentral describes it as "partial small subunit ribosomal RNA". It matches the Rfam family "Bacterial small subunit ribosomal RNA", at positions 524 to 1488 of the family's 1533-position model. Lineage: Eukaryota; Ciliophora; Spirotrichea; Urostylida; Bakuellidae. The record is from RNAcentral.
GACGUUGACGAGGGAGCGUUACUGGUCAUAAUUAGGCGUACGGAGCGGCUAAACAGCUUAAAUUUAUUUAAAGGAAACUGAAGGAGUAGACGCAAGUGUUUUAAAUAACUUUAAUGCUAGAGUUGGAAAGAGACUAGAGAUAAACAAUACUUAGAGAUAGAAUUCAAAUAAGUAUUGGGCAUCUUCAUAAGCCACGGCAUCUUUGAAUUUCCAACUGACGUUAAACCGUUAAAGUUCGAGAAUCGAAUAGGAUUGGAGACCCUAAUAGUUCGGACUGUGAAUCGAUGGGUAUUAAGACGGAUUAAAAUCCGAUUUUAAGUAAAUGCGCAAAUACCUCGCCGGGGGAGUAAGGUUGCAAAGGUAAAACUUAAAGAGAUUGGCGGGAGUUUGUAUAAACGGUGAAGUGUGUGGUUUAAUUCGACAAUCCACGGGCAAUCUUACCAGUCUGGCACUGUUCAAUGAAUCUACUCUAAAAGUGUUUCGCUAGGUUGAAUGGGAUAGGUACUGCAUGGCUGUCGUCAGUUUGUGUUGUGAAAAGCGAUAUUAAGUUAUCAAACAAACGCAACCCUCAUUACAUUCAAUCAAAUUUUUAUUGUUACAGACACGAAAAUGUUUUCGCGUAACGUGAAUCUUAUUUAAUGUAGACGCUACUAAGACCAGUAAAUUGAAGAAUGGAAUUUUAAGAUAAUUAUUUACGGUAUGUAAAUAGGUACAAUUUUCGGGUUGUGUUUCGGGACUGUGCGUUGUAAACUAACAUUCAAUGUUAACGUAUACCCCUUAACUAACAAAAUCACCGCGACGUGUUAAAUUAUUACCAAUAAGAUAACUGUCGCAGUUUGUGCACCCACCCUCAUCUACUUAAACUCCCGAAUCGGUAAUCACCCCGUCUUACCGAAAUUCGUUUCGGUAAAUAAAAACGGGAUUUGGAUGAGGGUGCAAGGGAUUACUACCGAAUAAUGUAAACUCUUUUGCACGAUUUUGUUGCCGUCUUUAAAGUGGUUAAGCUGUGGUUUGUGGACCGUACGAGGGGGUCUGGUGAUGGGGGAUGGGAAGAAGAAUUAAACAUGCGCUAGCUUGCAAAGCUAUAUACAGUGAUUCAAUGCGCCCACGUACCUCCACCACUACUAAGGACUCUUUUCGGAUUAGGUCACUUACGCACGUCUUUUCUUUAUCCACCAAUCAGUCAAAGGUAUUUAGAGGGGAAGAGGAGGCUGAAGUCAAGUCAUUAUGGUCUUUAUAGGCUGGGCUACACACGCGCUGCAACGCUGAAAACAACGCGAUGAGAGGAAGAAAUUCCAAACGAUUCGUUAAAAAUUGGCCCAGUUCGGAGUGUAAACUGAAAUUCGUUUACGCUAAGUCGGAAUCGUUAGUAAUCGUGAACUAUUACGUCACGGUGAAUACCAAAUCAAACUUUGCACACACCGCCCAUCACGCUCGAAGAGUUGUAUUUUUCUGAAACCUCACGAACCACCAUUUUCGCUUAGUCGAGUACCAGAAAAUUAAUGUAACAUUUCUGCGAAAAGCUUCGUGAAUGUUUUCUCUAGAGGAAAUAAGCUAUUUUCUGCGGGUCAGGGCGGGUAUGGCAAUUUGAGUGAAGUUG